Molecule: long non-coding RNA, 1580 nt
Organism: Macrobrachium nipponense
Lineage: Eukaryota; Metazoa; Arthropoda; Malacostraca; Decapoda; Palaemonidae
Exons: 25
Source: RefSeq, a predicted model, not a curated record
AUGUUGGAUUAAAUGGAAGUCCAGGAUGAUGCCAUGGCUCCCCAUUGGAAGUUUGUAAAUAUGUUCCAGUUUUACGGGAUUUCAAACAAUUCAUAGAUGGAACAGACCAGAGGACUCAACAUAAGGAUGAGUUCUAAUGCCUGCAAAUUAGGACUACAUAGAGAAUGAGAUCUGACACUGGUGAUUUCUGACAGGUAUGAAUCAUUCACCAUGUGACUCCACAUUUUGUGAAGGAGGCAGCAGAGAUCAUGAAUGAGUGUGUGCAUCCAUGUGGAGCUCCAGAUUUUAUGACAGCAAAGAUAUUUUUGCAUUUGAAGGAUGGGAAUGCAGGUUGGGAACAGAAGUGGAGAUUAAAUGAAUGUCGUCUCUACAUUGGCAGCGCACAAUAGGUGCUGUUGGAAAUUCUUCAGCCUGUAAAUGGACAAGGGAUUAGUUAAAUUUUGAAUAAAAGGAGGAUCAAUAUUUUCAGGAGGAGGAAGAUUGGUGGAAAACUACAGCAUUUUGCAAUAAAGGUAAAAAGGGAAAGGUAUGCUGUGCAGUUGAUCAAGUUUGAGUGGUGGUUGUGUCGAGAUUGAAACUACUGGCGAUGUGUCAAGAUGAAACUACAAUGGUGAUUUAUGGUUGCAGUUGCCUUCUUGAAUUAUGCUGAAUUACUAGUUUGGUAAUUACAAUGAACUUUCAACAGUUGUUUGAAGAGUAAUCCAGUUCAUUUGCAAAACCACAAACGUGGUAAAUAGUGAACUCUGCUGUUGGUUUAAUCAUCGAUAAGAAAGAAGAGGCCAACUUAAGGGGAAGGAUGACUUUUCAUUUGUUAUCAGCAACUAAAGAAGGAAGGAAGACUGGCUUUUAAAAUUUGAUCCAUGAGUUUUGGGAAAGGAAUAACUUCAGUUGACAUGUUGCAGACUUGAGAGAGUGAAUUUUCGGGAAAAUAGCAGUAUUAUGGAUGGUGUAUAAUGAAGACAAGGGUCCCAUGGAAACCAUUUUAGGAUUAGAUUGUGUCGAGGAUCAUAAACCCUGUAAUGGUAGGAAGCAGAUACUCGAAGAAAGCCGAGAGAUGUCAAGGUUUCUGUACCAAGAUGGCAGUGUUUUAAGUGAUAAAAGUGAUGGUGCUGUACGUUGUUUCUCAUAGGGCGAAGUUUGGAGAAGUAUUAGCAGAAAACUGGUGCCAUUUCCAAACUAGGGUUAGUGCUGCUGAAGUGAAUUGAGGGAAGUUUGAGCAAAUGCAGAGUAACCCUAACCCUCCAACCCCACCCCACUGCCUAAAGAUUCAUUGGAGAUCCCCAGAGCACUGCAAGGUCUGCAUCCUAUUACUACAAAUUUGUAUGACCUAUCCUGACCUGGUCUUUUCCCUGAGGUUUGGAUGGCUCCUCUGUCUGUGCCUAGCUUCCGGGAUUGGUAGUGAUUUAAGGAGGCCAGUGUGAACAUUUGUCUGCAGGUGGAAAUCGAGUGCAUUAGAAGAAUGGCUUAGGUUUAGUUUCCUAUUUUGUUGAUAUUUGUACAGGGUUUUUUUUUUUUUUCUCCUCAAACCAACAUCAUUUGUAUCUGACUAGUUUUAAAUAUAUUAUUGGAUAUUCCUAUAA